RNAcentral lists this long non-coding RNA (459 nucleotides) under Olea europaea (common olive). Its description in RNAcentral is "long non-coding RNA (OEUR_LNC008052)". Lineage: Eukaryota; Viridiplantae; Streptophyta; Magnoliopsida; Lamiales; Oleaceae. The record is from RNAcentral.
AUGACUGCUUGUCGCAGUGCCUCACGACGGACGUACGCAUACGCCUGCUCAACGGUAAGAAACGGGUCCAUCUGCAAAACUCCACUACGGAUGCUAUCGAGACGUUCAUCGAGCCCAUCAAGGAAGGUGUAAACUCUGUCUUCCUGGGUCAAAUUAUUGAAGUGGCGGAUGUCAGCGGCACACUUCAUUGGAUUUGGGCGACGGAAGUCAAUUUCGCGCCACAACCCAUGCAGUUCAGUGUAAUAUUUCUCCACAGAUCCGCCUGCUUGUCUUAGGCGACUCACCCUUCGUCGAAGAUCAUAGACUUGGGAUUUAUCAUUCCCAUCAAAGUAUGUAGUGGCAAUAGCAUCCCAAACUUCCUUAGCAGUGUGGAAACGAAUGAAAUUGCCAAUCAGAACAGGGUCCAACGAAUUGAUAAUCCAUCCCUUGACAAUGGCAUUCUCAGUUCGCCAUUUUCGG